GCAAGUAUAGUUUAAUCAAAACAUUAGUCUGUGAUCCUAAAAACAGAAGUUAAACUCUUCUUACCUGCCAAGGGGAGGU
Molecule: transfer RNA, 79 nt
Filed under: Taphrospilus hypostictus
Lineage: Eukaryota; Metazoa; Chordata; Aves; Apodiformes; Trochilidae
Description: tRNA-His
Rfam family: tRNA (bases 1-69)
About the family: Transfer RNA (tRNA) molecules are approximately 80 nucleotides in length.
Source: RNAcentral